AUUGAACGCUGGCGGCAGGCCUAACACUUGCAAGUCGAGCGGAUGAAGGGAGCUUGCUCCUGGAUUCAGCGGCGGACGGGUGAGUAAUGCCUAGGAAUCUGCCUGGUAGUGGGGGAUAACGUCCGGAAACGGGCGCUAAUACCGCAUACGUCCUGAGGGAGAAAGGGGGGGAUCUUCGGACCUCACGCUAUCAGAUGAGCCUAGGUCGGAUUAGCUAGUUGGUGGGGUAAAGGCCUACCAAGGCGACGAUCCGUAACUGGUCUGAGAGGAUGAUCAGUCACACUGGAACUGAGACACGGUCCAGACUCCUACGGGAGGCAGCAGUGGGGAAUAUUGGACAAUGGGCGAAAGCCUGAUCCAGCCAUGCCGCGUGUGUGAAGAAGGUCUUCGGAUUGUAAAGCACUUUAAGUUGGGAGGAAGGGCAGUAAGUUAAUACCUUGCUGUUUUGACGUUACCAACAGAAUAAGCACCGGCUAACUUCGUG
This 484-nucleotide ribosomal RNA is filed under the name uncultured bacterium. RNAcentral's name for it is "partial 16S ribosomal RNA". It matches the Rfam family "Bacterial small subunit ribosomal RNA", at positions 30 to 507 of the family's 1533-position model. The record is from RNAcentral.